CCAAAAUCUUCUUUCUCUUUUCUUUAGGGAGGUUCAUCAAUGCUUUAGAUCGAAGUCCAUCAAUAGCUUUUGUAUCCAUCAAUAGCUUUAGUACUUGCAAAUUUAUGGUUUGCAACUUGUUUCUGCAAUGGGUGUUGUUUAUGAAAUAAAAAUUUUCAUCUCUGUUCAAAAUUACAUUUAACAGCUUUAAAUUAUUAAUUUUUAUUGCAGACUUGAAGUCAUAUCUACCUAGGCUUGACCAUCA
RNAcentral lists this unclassified non-coding RNA (244 nucleotides) under Hevea brasiliensis (rubber tree). Lineage: Eukaryota; Viridiplantae; Streptophyta; Magnoliopsida; Malpighiales; Euphorbiaceae. The record is from RNAcentral.